GUAUCUGUGGUCCGAGAGCGUCUGCGCC
This 28-nucleotide small RNA is filed under the name Bombyx mori (domestic silkworm). RNAcentral's name for it is "ovarian small RNA-17673". The record is from RNAcentral. Lineage: Eukaryota; Metazoa; Arthropoda; Insecta; Lepidoptera; Bombycidae.